Molecule: ribosomal RNA, 468 nt
Filed under: uncultured bacterium
Lineage: Bacteria
Description: partial 16S ribosomal RNA
Rfam family: Bacterial small subunit ribosomal RNA
Source: RNAcentral
GACGAACGCUGGCGGCGUGCUUAACACAUGCAAGUCGAACGGAAAGGCCCUGCUUUUGUGGGGUGCUCGAGUGGCGAACGGGUGAGUAACACGUGAGUAACCUGCCCUUGACUUUGGGAUAACUUCAGGAAACUGGGGCUAAUACCGGAUAGGAGCUCCUGCUGCAUGGUGGGGGUUGGAAAGUUUCGGCGGUUGGGGAUGGACUCGCGGCUUAUCCGCUUGUUGGUGGGGUAGUGGCUUACCAAGGCUUUGACGGGUAGCCGGCCUGAGAGGGUGACCGGCCACAUUGGGACUGAGAGACGGCCCAGACUCCUACGGGAGGCAGCAGGGGGGAAUAUGACACAAUGAGCGGAAGCCAGAGGCAGCAACGCCGCGUGCGUGAUGACGGCCUUCGGGUUGUAAACCGCUUUCGCCGGUGACGAAGCGUGAGUGACGGUAAUGGGUAAAGAAGCACCGGCUAACUACGUG